RNAcentral lists this ribosomal RNA (650 nucleotides) under uncultured bacterium. RNAcentral's name for it is "bacterial SSU rRNA". It matches the Rfam family "Bacterial small subunit ribosomal RNA", at positions 93 to 740 of the family's 1533-position model. The record is from RNAcentral.
GAGUGGCGAACGGGUGAGUAAUACAUCGGAACGUGUCCUGGAGUGGGGGAUAGCCCGGCGAAAGCCGGAUUAAUACCGCAUACGCUUAUGGAGGAAAGGGGGGGAUCUUCGGACCUCUCGCUCAAGGGGCGGCCGAUGGCAGAUUAGCUAGUUGGUGGGGUAAAGGCCUACCAAGGCGACGAUCUGUAGCUGGUCUGAGAGGACGACCAGCCACACUGGGACUGAGACACGGCCCAGACUCCUACGGGAGGCAGCAGUGGGGAAUUUUGGACAAUGGGCGCAAGCCUGAUCCAGCAAUGCCGCGUGUGUGAAGAAGGCCUUCGGGUUGUAAAGCACUUUUGUCCGGAAAGAAAACUUCUGUCCUAAUACGGCGGGGGGAUGACGGUACCGGAAGAAUAAGCACCGGCUAACUACGUGCCAGCAGCCGCGGUAAUACGUAGGGUGCGAGCGUUAAUCGGAAUUACUGGGCGUAAAGCGUGCGCAGGCGGUUCGUUAAGACAGAUGUGAAAUCCCCGGGCUUAACCUGGGAACUGCAUUUGUGACUGGCGGGCUAGAGUAUGGCAGAGGGGGGUAGAAUUCCACGUGUAGCAGUGAAAUGCGUAGAGAUGUGGAGGAAUACCGAUGGCGAAGGCAGCCCCCUGGGCCAAUAC